RNAcentral lists this transfer RNA (73 nucleotides) under Marmota marmota marmota (Alpine marmot). It matches the Rfam family "tRNA". From Rfam's summary of the family: Transfer RNA (tRNA) molecules are approximately 80 nucleotides in length. Their secondary structure includes four short double-helical elements and three loops (D, anti-codon, and T loops). Lineage: Eukaryota; Metazoa; Chordata; Mammalia; Rodentia; Sciuridae. RNAcentral also lists the same sequence under 1 other name. The record is from Rfam by way of RNAcentral.
GGGGAUAUAGCUCAGUUGGUAGAGUGUUUGUCUUGGAUGCAAAAGGCCCUGGGUUCAAUCCCCAGCACCACCA